This 496-nucleotide ribosomal RNA is filed under the name uncultured bacterium. Its description in RNAcentral is "bacterial SSU rRNA". It matches the Rfam family "Bacterial small subunit ribosomal RNA", at positions 29 to 518 of the family's 1533-position model. The record is from RNAcentral.
AUGAACGCUAGCGACAGGCCUAACACAUGCAAGUCGAGGGGCAGCACAAGGAGCAAUCUGAGGUGGCGACCGGCGCACGGGUGAGUAACACGUAUGCAACCUGCCUGUAAGCGGGGAAUAACCCGUUGAAAGACGGACUAAUACCGCAUAAUACUAAAUUACUGCAUGGUAAUUUAUUUAAACAUUUAUGGCUUACAGAUGGGCAUGCGCAUGAUUAGCUAGUUGGAGAGGUAACGGCUCCCCAAGGCAACGAUCAUUAGGGGUUCUGAGAGGAAGGUCCCCCACACUGGUACUGAGACACGGACCAGACUCCUACGGGAGGCAGCAGUGAGGAAUAUUGGUCAAUGGACGAGAGUCUGAACCAGCCAAGCCGCGUGCAGGAAGAAUGUUCCCUAUGGAUUGUAAACUGCUUUUGCAGGGGAAUAAAGUGCAUCACGUGUGAUGUUUUGUAUGUACUCUGCGAAUAAGGAUCGGCUAACUCCGUGCCAGCAGCCGC